RNAcentral lists this ribosomal RNA (271 nucleotides) under uncultured archaeon. RNAcentral describes it as "partial 16S ribosomal RNA". It matches the Rfam family "Archaeal small subunit ribosomal RNA", at positions 477 to 747 of the family's 1478-position model. The record is from RNAcentral.
CAGCGCCACGAGUGGCAAUCGCGUUUAUUGGGCCUAAAGCGUCCGUAGCAGGUUUUAUAAAUCUCUUGUGAAAUUGCCAAGCUUAACUUGGCAGUAUGCAGGAGACACUGUAAGACUUGAGACCGGGAAGGGUUAGAGGUAUUCCUGAGGGAGCGGUAAAAUGCUAUAAUCUCAGGAGGACCACCUGUGGCGAAGGCGUCUAACUAGAACGGAUCUGACUGUGAGGGACGAAAGCCAGGGGAGCAAACCGGAUUAGAUACCCGAGUAGUCC